UUUUUCCUACGGGAGGCAGCAGUGGGGAAUAUUGCACAAUGGGGGAAACCCUGAUGCAGCGACGCCGCGUGAGUGAAGAAGUAAUUCGUUAUGUAAAGCUCUAUCAGCAGGGAAGAAAAUGACGGUACCUGAGUAAGAAGCCCCGGCUAACUACGUGCCAGCAGCCGCGGUAAUACGUAGGGGGCAAGCGUUAUCCGGAUUUACUGGGUGUAAAGGGAGCGUAGAUGGCAGUGCAAGACUGGAGUGAAUGGCGGGGGCGCAACCCCCGGACUGCUCUGGCAACUGAACGGCUGGAGUGCAGGAGG
This 305-nucleotide ribosomal RNA is filed under the name uncultured bacterium. RNAcentral's name for it is "bacterial SSU rRNA". It matches the Rfam family "Bacterial small subunit ribosomal RNA", at positions 333 to 655 of the family's 1533-position model. The record is from RNAcentral.